Molecule: ribosomal RNA, 253 nt
Filed under: uncultured bacterium
Lineage: Bacteria
Description: partial 16S ribosomal RNA
Rfam family: Bacterial small subunit ribosomal RNA
Source: RNAcentral
UACGAAGGGGACUAGCGUUGUUCGGAAUCACUGGGCGUAAAGCGCACGUAGGCGGAUGUGUCAGUCAGGGGUGAAAUCCCGGGGCUCAACCUCGGAACUGCCUUUGAUACAGCACGUCUCGAGUCCGGAAGAGGUGGGUGGAAUUCCUAGUGUAGAGGUGAAAUUCGUAGAUAUUAGGAAGAACACCGGUGGCGAAGGCGGCCCACUGGCCCGGUACUGACGCUGAGGUGCGAAAGCGUGGGGAGCAAACAGG